Molecule: long non-coding RNA, 748 nt
Organism: Arachis stenosperma
Lineage: Eukaryota; Viridiplantae; Streptophyta; Magnoliopsida; Fabales; Fabaceae
Exons: 3
Source: RefSeq, a predicted model, not a curated record
AUUUUUUAUUGUCUAAUAUUCUAUUUUAUAUAACAUACACUACAACAGAUGCGGAACCUAGCGGCGGAGAAACAACGGCCCAUGCCAAAAACGACGCUAGUUGAGAAGAUCCCGGCAAAGAUCAUUGGCGGUCUGGCAGGUACCGCUAAACCUUCCUGGAUAUCGGCCGUGCAUCCCGAACCGCCUCGAAUUUGAUGUAUAUAUCUUCAACUAAGGCUCCUGAUUUCACUUAACCUCUUGGCGCGAACGAAAGCACGAGCAGAGGCGCAAAGAGCACCCAACCUCCCUCUGGCGCAACCUACCCGCGAAUACACCCAGAAACUCUGCCAGCAACCCAUCACUUCAUUUUGGUAGCGUGCCAAACACGAGCGGGAGCAGAGCCGCGUACCAUCUGCCCCACCCGGCCCUUCCGUCUUCACCGUCGAAUCGCGCAGCGGCCAAUCGUGGUUCCAUCACCAGCGACGAAGUUGAGCAUCUCAUUGGCAGUGCGUGAAACCCCAACACCGUCCUCUCCAGUGCGCGAAUCCUAGCUAUCGCUGCCUCCCACUUUCACCGGAGCAAUUAUUUAAACCAUAUAUGAAGAGAAGGAUGAAGAUGGCUUUCUUUAUGUGACAUACAGUGGCUACCAUUUCUUUGGGGAUCUCACUUCCCACAUGCAUUAGUCAUUUUCUUAUAUUGUUUACUUUGAUUAAUGAUUUGUAUGAUGAAUUUGUUACACUUCUCAUAUCAGAAACCUUGAUUUAUCUCA